UACGUAUGGUGCAAGCGUUAUCCGGAUUUACUGGGUGUAAAGGGAGCGCAGGCGGCGCGGCAAGUCCGAUGUGAAAACCCCCGGCUCAACCGGGGGACUGCAUUGGAAACUACCGGGCUGGAGUGCCGGGGAGGUAGGCGGAAUUCCUGGUGUAGCGGUGAAAUGCGUAGAUAUCAGGAGGAACACCAGUGGCGAAGGCGGCCUACUGGACGGUGACUGACGCUGAGGCUCGAAAGCGUGGGGAGCAAACAGG
Molecule: ribosomal RNA, 253 nt
Filed under: uncultured bacterium
Lineage: Bacteria
Description: partial 16S ribosomal RNA
Rfam family: Bacterial small subunit ribosomal RNA
Source: RNAcentral